RNAcentral lists this ribosomal RNA (232 nucleotides) under uncultured bacterium. RNAcentral's name for it is "partial 16S ribosomal RNA". It matches the Rfam family "Bacterial small subunit ribosomal RNA", at positions 118 to 350 of the family's 1533-position model. The record is from RNAcentral.
UGACCAACCUGCCCCUAACUCUGGGAUAACCCCGGGAAACCGGAGCUAAUACCGGAUACGAGACCGAGUGGCAUCACACGGUCUGGAAAGUUUUUCGGUUAGGGAUGGGGUCGCGGCCUAUCAGCUUGUUGGUGGGGUAAUGGCCUACCAAGGCGACGACGGGUAGCCGGCCUGAGAGGGCGACCGGCCACACUGGGACUGAGACACGGCCCAGACCUCCGUACGGGAGGCA